CUCGAACAUUAAAAACACACCAACUCAUCCACACUGGAGAGAGACCAUUCAGCUGUGACGAGUGUGGAAAGUCUUUUACGCACAUUUCAAACUUAAAAUCACACCAACUGAUCCACAGUGGAGUUAAAGCGUACACCUGUGAUCAGUGUGGCAGAGCUUUUACUCACAGUAACAGCUUACAGAGUCAUCUAGUUACCCACUCUGGAAUUAAGGCGUACAGCUGUGACAUUUGUGGAAAAACUUUCAGCCGGAUAGGGAGCCGAAAUACACACCUACGCAUUCACACCAGACAUGAUGUGUACAGCUGUGAUCAGUGUGGUAAACAGUUUACCACAAAGACAGAGUUACAACGUCACAUGUUUACCCACACUGAGGAACGACCUUAUAAAUGUGACCUGUGUGAGAAGACUUUUAAAUCUCCACGUUACCUGAAAGCACACCAACAGAUCCACACCAGAAAGACUCUACAAGUGCAGUUACUGUGAGAAGCAGAGCGACACAAAUGGAUCAAGUUCUCAACCCUGUCAUCGCUGUGGGAAAGACUUUUGUUGUGACCUUUGUGGAAAAACUUUAAGUCAUUGAAGGACUCUGAAAAUACAUCAACGUAGACACACUGGAGACAAAAUGAACUACUGUAAAGAAUGCGGGAGAGGCUUCACCACUUCAAAGGACUUCAAACAAUAUGAACUCCUUCACAGUGGCGUUAAAAAGCAUGUCUGCGAUCAGUGUGGGUCAUCCUUCAUCAGUGCACGUCAGCUUGAAAAGCAUAAACGAGUCCACACAUGAGAGAAA
Long non-coding RNA from Oreochromis niloticus (Nile tilapia), 792 nucleotides. RefSeq lists it as uncharacterized. The transcript is spliced from 2 exons. The record is from RefSeq and is a predicted model, not a curated record. NCBI's taxonomy places the organism in Eukaryota, Metazoa, Chordata, Actinopteri, Cichliformes, Cichlidae.